Molecule: ribosomal RNA, 426 nt
Filed under: uncultured soil bacterium
Lineage: Bacteria
Description: bacterial SSU rRNA
Rfam family: Bacterial small subunit ribosomal RNA
Source: RNAcentral
AGAUUGAACGCUGGCGGCAGGCCUAACACAUGCAAGUCGAGCGGUAGAGAGGUGCUUGCAUCUCUUGAGAGCGGCGGACGGGUGAGUAAUGCCUAGGAAUCUGCCUAGUGGUGGGGGAUAACGUUCGGAAACGGACGCUAAUACCGCAUACGCCCUACGGGAGAAAGCGGGGACCUUCGGGCCUCGCGCCAUUAGAUGAGCCUAGGUCGGAUUAGCUAGUUGGUGAGGUAAUGGCUCACCAAGGCGACGAUCCGUAACUGGUCUGAGAGGAUGAUCAGUCACACUGGAACUGAGACACGGUCCAGACUCCGUACGGAGGCAGCAGUGGGAAUAUUGGACAAUGGGACGAAAGCCGUAGAUCCAGCCAUGCCGCGUGUGUGAAGAAGUUCUUGGAUUGUAAAGCAAUUUAAGGUAGGAGGUAAGGUU